This 765-nucleotide long non-coding RNA is filed under the name Marmota marmota marmota (Alpine marmot). RNAcentral's name for it is "lncRNA (ENSMMMG00000014546.1)". The record is from RNAcentral. Lineage: Eukaryota; Metazoa; Chordata; Mammalia; Rodentia; Sciuridae.
AGCAGGGAAAGGCCACCGCACGUUGGCGAGGCCUGGCGGGGCCCAGAAGUGACGUGAAGGCUCCUGACCUGAGAGUGCCCAGCGGGUUGUGCGUCCUUCUUUCUGCCCGUCUCCACCCCCGGUUUUCACUCAAGCUCUGCUGGUGCUUCACCUGACAACUUCCAGACUCACAGGUGGGGAGGAGCCCAGGUCAGCACUGCCGAUUACCCUCACCCCCAAACACUCCACCGCUGUGGAAGAAGCAUCAGGGCUGGCAUUGCCUUCCCUGCCUUGGGGUGCGUCUGUUCAAACUCUUCCAGCCCCUCAAGCAGAAACCCUGUGGAUUGGGGCCAAACUCCUCUUGCAGUGACUCAAGGCGGCCAGCCCUGCUGAAAGGAUGGGAUGGGAGGUGAAAGGCCCUUAGCCUAUUGCUUUGAAAUGGUUUAUAUUACCCUGGUGCCUGCAUAUUUUUCCCUCCACUUGACUUCUCCUACCCUUUGCUGGUUUUCCUGCCUGGCACCCCCAGCAGUGAAACACAAGGUUGGACCAAGGCCUCCAGGUGUUGAACAGGCUAAUGGUGACAGGACUGGAAGUGGCUGUCCUGAAUCUCUUGGUAUCAGGACAUCUCUGCAAGGUCGCUGAGGUGGACAAACCCAAGGAAAUCAGCAGGUAUCAGCAGAGAGAGCCCUGCCAUCAGGAAAGCAGCACAAGACCAGGACCUACUGAUGGACCCUUUUCAGGACAACCCAACAGCCGUGGUGCUUUCCUAAGCUGCAGGAGACCUGG